This 465-nucleotide ribosomal RNA is filed under the name Vreelandella stevensii. Its description in RNAcentral is "partial 16S ribosomal RNA". It matches the Rfam family "Bacterial small subunit ribosomal RNA", at positions 338 to 795 of the family's 1533-position model. The record is from RNAcentral. Lineage: Bacteria; Pseudomonadati; Pseudomonadota; Gammaproteobacteria; Oceanospirillales; Halomonadaceae.
CCUACGGGUGGCAGCAGUGGGGAAUAUUGGACAAUGGGCGAAAGCCUGAUCCAGCCAUGCCGCGUGUGUGAAGAAGGCCUUCGGGUUGUAAAGCACUUUCAGUGGGGAAGAAAGCCUUGGGGCUAAUACCCUCGAGGAAGGACAUCACCCACAGAAGAAGCACCGGCUAACUCCGUGCCAGCAGCCGCGGUAAUACGGAGGGUGCGAGCGUUAAUCGGAAUUACUGGGCGUAAAGCGCGCGUAGGCGGUCUGAUAAGCCGGUUGUGAAAGCCCCGGGCUCAACCUGGGAACGGCAUCCGGAACUGUCAGGCUAGAGUGCUGGAGAGGAAGGUAGAAUUCCCGGUGUAGCGGUGAAAUGCGUAGAGAUCUGGAGGAAUACCAGUGGCGAAGGCGGCCUUCUGGACUGACACUGACGCUGAGGUGCGAAAGCGUGGGUAGCAAACAGGAUUAGAUACCCGUGUAGUC